RNAcentral lists this long non-coding RNA (42009 nucleotides) under Musa acuminata (dwarf banana). RNAcentral describes it as "long non-coding RNA (MACU_LNC008406)". The record is from RNAcentral. Lineage: Eukaryota; Viridiplantae; Streptophyta; Magnoliopsida; Zingiberales; Musaceae.
UAUUCUGAUCUAGUACCCAAUAGCCAGGGAAUCAGUGGUAUAGUUAACAGACUUCAGGGAAUCAGUGGGAGUGAUUUCAGCCUGUGACUACUUAGUUUGAUCCGUUCACCUAUAUAAAGAGAAUAUAGAAUUUAGUAAGGGCCAAGGCCAAGGCCAAGCAACGGCGCGCCAAGACACUACUAACGUGUCGCGGCAGCGAGUUGAAAGCUGCGCGGCAGCAGCAGCAUAGAUAUGUUAUAACCAAUUAUGACCAAGUCAUGUGUUCGCGUUACGCGGCAGGCGUUCUCCCCACAAUUCUCUCUUUUCUUCUAUGCUUAACACAAGCACCUGAACCGACCUAUAAUAAGUGUUCACCCCGACCCGACCUAUCUUUCCAUUGGCACAACUAAUGCUAUCAGCCAAGUCGCGUAUACAAAUAGAGAGAGGAGCCUCAUCUACUUAUUGCUCCUAUCUUAUUACUUCUAUGCUAUCUCUUAUGAAACAGGACUAGACUACUACUCCACUGGCAAAACAGGACCCCUACGCAGCUAGGCACAAGUUGAUCUAAAGUAAACAAAUCAUUCAUCUACUUCUCCUCUGGCAACUGACACUCGGUCUUCAACUAGCACCGAACCUAUCUCUACCCUUAACAUUAUUGUUUCUAGUUCCAACCAAGGCUAUGGAGGUUUCAACUUCCACUCGGUAUUCCACACUUCGAUUUUCAGAACUGUCAACACCUUACUUUAGAACUGAGCUUGAUUGUUCCCCUGUUGUUACUGUUGCUGAUGGGGAUCUGUCUUCUGUAGUUUGAUUUGAUGGGAAAUCCUUCAUUGGAAACUCAGAAACUUGCCAACGAAGUCAUUUCUGCCUACCAUCUUUAUGGUUCCUUCCCUGAACUAAUUGAACUAGUUGACUUCCCACUACUCUGGUAUUGUAUAAGAAUAGUGGCCCAGCGACUACUAGAUGCGGCAGAUGGGUCAUAUAACUACUGAGUGCAAUUCACCAAGCAACUACAACAAGGCCCGAGCUACUGCUUUUCUUUCCAUGACUACUUAUACGGAUGCUUAGAUUUAGUCUCUCGCUCUUGUCUGUGAGUCUUCCUUGCCUUGCCUAGAUCCCAAGCUAACUCUUAUGGUCUUAUAGCUCUGCCGGGUAUCCUGACUUUAUUAUCUCAUUCCCUGCGGUGUUUCUCCAAUUCCCAUGCACGCUCUAGCUUAAGACCCGGCAGUGACCAUUCCUAUAGGAGUCAUUUCAUUCUUUUACUAAUGAGUCAACUUCUGCAUUCUCAGUGCAAUUCCUUAUUCUUAGUUAUUCCUCUGAUAAGUAAUAGUUGUUUUGUCUUGCUAGGUGCCUAGCCUAGGGUAUAUGAGUGAGUAGAACAGAAUCAGUAUUAGUCCUUAGUUCAAUUCGUAUAAGUAGUAAGUGGGAUUCUUUAACAAACAAGUAAGGAUCAAAGAUGGGAAUAGCAGACCCAAACCUAACUCUCUAAAGGCGGAUUGGGAGUCGAACUACAAAGUUCUUUUUAUCGGACUCAACUCACACUCAAGGCAAUAAGGUUUUAGGCUGCUUAGUUCAUUUAUUCAAUGAAUGUCCUUUAUUCGUACUAUACUAUUUGUCUUAGAGCUUGUAUCCAAGGACAGGGAUCCUUACUUAACUAGAGACUAAUGGCCCAAUGAGAGCCCAGGUCACAGAAUUUCGUUUCUGAACAGAGGAACCUAGUGUUCGAUCGGUUACUACUCUACUACUACUCUCUUCGGGCUUACUACUCAAUAGUUGUAGGCUUACUUCUAACAUGGACUAAUAACUUAUAACUCAUAACUAGUAACAGACUGAAACAACUAUACCCUAGCCUCGCCUAACAAGUAAGUAAGUCAACCUGCCUAGUACAAGUAAGUAAACAAAGAACUUACUAUAAGGGCCUCUCAACUGGACCACUACUUGUCAACUUCAGACUCCCUCGGGAGCUCAACUAAGUAAGUAUAUAGUAGAAAAGGCGCACACAGGACAGAUAUAGUAGUUCCGCUAUUGCUCUUGAAACUAAAGUACUGCUUCCAAACCUGCUCUUCAAACAACUUCUUUAGCGGCAGUCCGGGUUGGGAGUAGCAACACCUACUUCUAUUGAACUAAAUGAAACAAGUGAGUUACAGCCUGUGUUGUGUUCGUAUGCCUCUGCCUCUGCUGCCUAUGCCUUUAGUUAGUAAUUUGUAUGGGGUUCGUCUGCCUCGCCUCUCAAUCUUAUCUAUCUUAUCUUGUUAAAACAAGGGAAAGGGUAAACGAGGUCAUUCAUAUGAGUCCCCUUCAGUUCGAGGUCUGUUAUGAAAGUCUAGUUAUUGCCCCUUUAAGUAGUGCUUCUUCACAAACUACCCGAGCCGCCAAGACACGGAUAGACAAGUUACUACUCAUAGCUUCCCUUUCAGACUACACUAGGGAUAGGGAAGAAACAGAAUCAGGCCAGGGCAGCUAGGGCCAAGUCACUCAGAUAUUAAUUCUCCGAUGUCAACAAAUACUUCCUCUCCUCAGCUACAAGGCCUUAGCAACCUAUCACUUAUUACAAAUAUUCUGCAUUACAAGUUAUUGGAAGGUUAUGACCAAUCCUAGGAAAGAAAUAAGUCACAAUUAUUCAAAAUAAGGGAGCUGACUGAUGGAGAGUCAAAUUGAUAUGAAUGAGUUGCUUUGAUGUUGACUACCAGAAAUUAGUAAAAUAGUUGCCCGAGGUAUUAUAGAAGAUAGUAGCCAAGAUAGUUGCCAGAGGUAGAGGUGUUGCGGGAAGGGGAGGCGUGUAAUAGAAAAAGUCACUAACCCCACAACCCAGUAGGGCUCUUUCUCGAUAGUAGGAAAACCCCGUAGGGCUCUUUCUCGAUAGUAGGAAUUUGCCUCUACAGUAGGAAAGUAACUUCACAGUGUGUUUAAAGCAAUAAAGUUCUAAUUUCACUUUCCGGUAAGAAACAUAAGAUUUAGCUAGGUCUGAUAGCUCAGCAGAUAUAUAACUGAUAGCUCAGCAGAUAUAUAAGUAUUCCGUCGACUAUUAGACUCUAUUCUAGUUCUCUCUCUCGCAUUACUUGAAACAAAGAAUUCCACUCCAAGGGAGGAAACGGAGCCAAGCUACUCAGAGACAAGACUCGGCAAUAAAUGUAUUAUUAAUGAAGUUAUGAGCAAGUCCUUUAUUCUAUUCUGGGCGGUAGGAGCCGAGUUCUGGCGGUAGUGAGUUCCAAGCGUCAGCUACGAAAUAACUUGUUUCAUCCGGUAUUAUCCUUAAGAAAGUUCUAUUGAUUUUCUUAUACAGGGUGUGUACAGUGUCAGUAUAGGAUCAAUUCCAGUCGUUUUUCUUUUGACUAUGGUGAUUCCAACAGUUUUAAGCCCACUCUACAACUCUCUUCUUUUCUUUAGUUCACUACCGGUCAACUCUCUUCUUUCUUAAAGGAAGGAAUGCUAGGUGGUUCGGCAAGAAAAAGCCCAGUGUUAUCUAGCUCUAUCAUACAAUACAUCGCUCUUUACCGCUCGAACAAGAACAGGGCAUUCUCAUUCUUCAGCUCGAACUAUACUAGCAAAACCGGGAAUCAUACUAACUAAUAUCAGAAUAAACCCACAGCCAAUAAGAGGAACGCGGCCUUUGAAUCACUGAUCGCCGGGGUUGCAACAAGCAAAUAGUACCUCCCUAAUAAGAAGGAUCCUGCUCUACUGCCUAACAGCCUUACUAUCUUCACUUUUCGCCUUACUUGAAAGCCUCUGAGCUUCUAUGCCUCUACUCCUUUCCUUAGUUGCAUCCUAUCUAUCCUAUCUAUCAGUCCGCCCCUUGACUCUUUAACCACUGAUUCGGAUCUUUAUUUGAGUGUUUCGAACCACAACAUCCCGGUUUGUUAGCCUGCAACUCAGCUCUCCUAUUCUUAUACCUUGGAGUUAGCUACUGAUCUAAGUCUCGCUUUUGCUAGUUUGUUUGUUAAUCUGCUUGUCGAGUUUCAUUCCUACUAAACAGCCAUAGUACAAGUCAUUCUCCACAGACCCAUAUGAUAGACAAAGACAUCCUCCGUAUCACCGACCCUACAAUGGAAAAACCCUUAUCUCGGUUACCCAAUUGCAUCCGUUAUUGCAGGAUGGAUUCUUUCAUUCCUUAUUCCGUUUCAGUGUCUCUAGUAUGAGAGUAUGGGGCGCACCUACUCGUUCUUGGGCUGCGGAGCUCGAUUCCUACUUCUUAAAACUCAUUCUUUAACAGCAGAGCUUAACUCUUACUUUGCAUCUCUUAAAACGGAAGCUGCUCUCUGCCAUUCUUACUUGCUAGUUUGUGAUUCCCUUGUGUACAUGCCGCUGUUCCUCAUACACCUAUAGCACAUGCGCUACUGCAUUUAAGGUAAGUAGCCUUAUGAUUCUUUAUCGAAAGGGAGAGGCAUAUCAGGACCUUAGUUCACCAAUAAUAAGAGGAAUUAUGUUAACUUCUAAUAAUGAUGUUUACUUGACACCGGCACUAACAAUGAGGAAUGCGCUACUACCCUAUUAGAUCGAGAAACACUACUGGAAGGGAUCUAUUGACAAACAGACUCGAACUACCGCUUUUAAGGCAGCCCUUCCCCCUAUUAGUCUGUAGAGCUCCUGCCCUUGAUUGUUUCCCUCUGGACACUGAUCCUUGAACUAAACCAGUGCUAACAGGGUUCUCACUGCUGUCUCUUAGCCUUGUUUUGAAACUAACUUCCCCCACGCACUCUGACUCUUUGCUUUGAUUCCAAUGCUCUUUGCUUUAAUGCUCGAACUACGGACCCGUAUUCCCUAUCUAAUGAUCCAGAUCUUUUAUCUUAUUAAUAAGUAAUUGGACUAAUAGUAGCAAGACGAUAACUCAAAACUAUGGCAGUGACUGCAGCUUAUAGGGCUGUUACUGCAUGGAAGUUGGUGGUCGUUAGUGAGCGGUAGCUCUAUUCUAGGGGAGUAGUUAAGUGAAGCCUGUUUGCCAUUACAUUAGUUCCAUCCUAAUAGUUAGUAACUCGAUUCUUGUUAUCGAAGAAAGCGGAAUGAAAAUAAGUGUAUUGAGAGUCAAAGAUGGGAAGAGCGGGCUAGUAGGAGGUAGUCACUACGGAAUGAAGUGCAAGAGGUUAGCGAUCAAUCUAGUAGUUAUUAGUUCCGUUCGGUAGCUCGUAGUUUAGUCGAUAGCUCGUAAUUGAGUUCUCAUAUUAUUAGUUAGUUAGGGCCUUGUUAUAUGCAAGUGAAGCCUGUAUUCAUUGUGGAAGAGCUUAGUUUCCCCGGUACCCCGACUGGGAAUGGGAAGCUUUUGAUUCUCACUUUGGAGUCGAAGUCCUAUCAGUGCAAUAUCUGUUCCCUUCUUAGAUACCUAUAAAUACGACAUUCUCCCAUUACUGGCACAGUUUCUUACUUGGUGGUUGACACCUUAACAAAACUAGUGCUCCCGAGACUUAACCUAUUGGCGAACAAUGGUUCCUUUCCUGCCUCCCGAGCCUGUCUUCUAUUCUUUACACGCUAGGUAUCAAACGGACAUUGUGCCCAAGGGCUUUAGGAUCCUCUGCCACAUGUAUCAGCCUACCGUUAUUAACUAGCAAACUUAUAUUACUGCCUUAGAGUCUUAUUACUCGCAACACAGGCUUAGGCGAGUGAGGCAAUCCAUAUUCUUGUAUUAGCUCUUAGGUGACUGUAGGACAUUCCGACUUCUUAGCCCAAUUCUCAGAAAUGAGUUUAUUUACUCAGGGGGCAUUAUUGGAAUCUGAUUUCUAUUACUUUUACUCUGAUUAGCAGUGGUGAAAUCCUUAUAUGAGUAAGUUCAAUCUAUGUGGGCAGUUACUGAUUCUUUCUAUUGGUCUUAUCGCUCUUGUAGCAGAGACCAGCAUCUUGUAGCGUAUGGUAUCUUGUAUUAUUGACUUGUAGUAUUAUUCUCGUUAGUUGAUUUCCUAGCUAUGAGGAACAGUAUUAGAGGUUGUAUUAUUUGUAGAAUGAGAUAGAGCAAAGUAAGAUCUAGGUUCAGUAAAGUGAGACUAACGGCCUAGGUAUAGAUAGUCGGGAAAGGCGGGACGGGGCUAGCUAGCUAACUAGUGGAAUGAAGAAUCAAAGGCAGUAGAUCCAGUUUUCAAGCAAGCAAACCCAAGGUCACAUACCUGUCGAAUCAAACUCAAAUGCAUAAUAAGUGGAAUAGUUUUCAUCUCCAAUAGGGGGGCAGGCAUUAAUAUUCAAAACUCUACAGCUGGGACAUCAUACACAGCUAGAUCCUAUUUGAGUUUAGGAGAUCGAAAGGGCAAAGAGAGCCAACCGGUCAUGGUCAUCAUGGAGAAAAAACCACUACUUUUUCGUUCAAUUGGCCUAUAACAAUCUUCUUAUCACUAAGGGCUCGAACCAUAAGAGACCACUCUGGGUUCAGUUAAAGUCUCUCUUUGGUCACAGCCUACUCGUUUUCGCAAGAUCCACAGGAGAAAGGGGGGUUUAGUUGAUUGGAUCUCGAUGACCUCUCCGAAAAAGGGCAGCUUAAGGAAGAGGCAAAAAGGAGGGCUUCUUCACAAGGCACCGGGACCUAAACUUUUCAAUUGAUGUGGCUGAGAUUAGCCUGAAACAACCUCCAGGUCCGCAAUCCUUUUUAUCUUAGGUUAGACUAAGGGAUGCUGAGGCUCAGGUAUCACAGGCCGUCAUCCAGAAAGUCAUUACUACCCUAAACCCCUUUUACCGUUCAAAAGAAACAGAGUGAGCAGAGAAGUGAUUGCUAAUCCACACAGAAAGGCUUGUUAUUACGAAUCAUGUGCCAAAUGCAAUCAGGCAUUCCAUGAGAAAGAACCAAUUCUCUGAGAAAAAGAACCUUGCUUGCCUUACUAGCUCUCUUGUUAUGAGCAUGUACCACAGGUGGAUUCAGUCCCUUCCUUAUAGCCUUGCAGUCCAAUCUUAUCUACAAUCCUUUUUCUUUAUUCUGGGCAUCAAUCCCAUGUGAGCAAAAAGGGCCAAGUCAUCACCAAAAAGGUAACGGAAACCCGACAAAUGAUAGUCAUGAGGGCCAAGCAACGGGCCAAGCUACUCAUACCGACAAGACUGACCCCGCUAAGUAGGAGUACAACUGCGACUUAUAGUACUGUUGCUACUGAUCCAGAUCCUUUACAAGUUUGGGCACUUUACCUAGUCAUACUUCUUUGGGCACUUUACCUAGUCAUACUUCUUUCUUUGGGCACCUUACCUAGUCAUAUUGGAAUUAAUGUUCUUAUUAUAUGUGAACAGAAUAAGGAAUUGAAGAGACAAGCUACGUAUAGACUCAAAACUCCGUAAUAGAAUCAUGGAUUCCACAAAAGGAAUAGAAGAAUUGGGGAAAAAGCGAACUAAGUAAGAUAAUAUGGGUUCAACCAAAGUAUGUUUCGGGGAACCUCGCAUCAAAGAAAGAAUGGAAUUGACAUGGAAUAAACUAUCUUAUAAGAGAAUAGAAUCGAAUUGGCACUGAGAAAACUAGCUUCUGUUCUUUUAAUGUAUUGAGACUAUCCAUGUUAUAUUGAUACAAGCGAGACCUAUGCUAUUUAGACUAAUAGUACUAGAAACAUAUACUACCAACCGACUCUAUCGGAAUCAAACUCAGAAGUAGGGAUCCUCUUACGCACCUUGUACUUGCCCCUUAUAUGAGAAAACGGAGACCCGCGCUACCUCACCCAUGUGCCUGCGCUACUUACACCUACUAAGCAAGGUACUCAUUCUUCAAGUAACAUCAUAUAUUCUGUGAGCGAUCAUUCAACCACUCAUUCUUCGGUCGACACAACGUUCAUUGGGACAGACAACGUUUAUGUGGUCCAUCACCCAUUAAUAGAGGUUACCUAGGUAAUGAAUUGGUCGGUUGAACCACCUUAGUCGACACCACAUUGAUUCUUCGGUCGACACAACGUUCAUUGGUCGGACUCCCCGGUCAAAUCACUCAGCCUUGUCGUAGCACCAUGAAUUCAGUGAGCUACCUUGCACCCACUCGUUCAGUAAGCGACCAGCAACUCCGUCAACGUGGGUCAUCGCGCCUAAGUCGACAUAACCAACGUGCAUUGGGACAGCGCAUUGGGACAACAUUCAUUGGUUGGUAAACUGAACCACACCGACAUAGAGAACGACAUAGAUAAUUAUAAGCUCUAUUAGGUUUAUUCAAGCUAUAAUAUAGAGAGAACCAUGACUCACUGUCAAUUAGCAUAUAAUAUAGAGAGAACCAUGACUCACUGUCAAUUAGUAGACCAAUCGUGAAAGAAUUGAAUAGCAUUGAGCGUGACACCUAAUAUAGACAGACGUUGCUUGUUCAAUAGUAAUAAAGACGUUUUUCAAUAGCAUUGAGCGUGACACCUAAUAUAUAACUAAGUCAGAAAUCCAACUCUAUUACUGGAAGAUACUCUGAAUAAUAACUUGCGGAUAAUGUGACUUUAAGAUACUCUACUCUGAAUAAUAACUUGCACAUAUAAUGACUGCUUGAGUAGAUGCUAUAUAGAACCAAGGCAAGGCCGGAGGGUGUAUUGAAUCAAAUCUGUUUCGUUGCUUGGUGGACUUGGGACAUAAGAAAGGUGAACUCUGGAACGGAUUCAAUGAAACUAACUCAUAACUCCUAACUCAGGUGCCGGUAUUGGUAUUUCACUCCUAACUAGUCAUUUAUGAUUCUCUCUCUUUCGUUGGUAACACUUCUGAUCCUGCUUAUUGAAUUGAAACACCUGUACUUGUGACUUUCGUAUGCGAGGUGGAUUCUUUGAUUUCGCUGUUGGUUGCCCGUUAGCUUAUUGUUGUGUUCGGGGCUUCUUGAAAAGAUUGUUGCCAUCUAUCAUAAAAGAAAGUAAACUAACUGCAAUUCUUCAGAAGCAGACUAAGGCACAUGAGAGAAUUAAGUGCAAACGAUGAAGAACUAACUUACAGAGCGAAAUCCUCUUAUUCUAUUACUAAGAACCUUGAAACUGCUGGUGCUACUGCUUAUGCUGACUGGCUCGAUACAGCUGCUUCGGAUCUUUAAAUGGCUUCUUCUAUUAGGCCUAAACCUGGCAAUACUUAACGCUUCAGUCAACAACUAAUUCAUUUCACAUUUCACUUCACUGAGGUUCUAUCUAUAUGAGAUUCUAUAUGAUGAUGAAGCCCCUGAACUUGACUUUCCAGAGAUUAGAGAUUGGCUUGUUGGGUAUGAAAGGGGAGCCUAUUGUAACUCCGAACCUAUCCUCUAUCCUUGGUUACUUCUUUCUAUCAUAUAGAGCGAAUUAUACUGCCUAUACUAAUAAGGAUCUUUCCACUCCAGAACUACUUGCUGCUGAAGCUAUUUCUUCUGCUUCAUCUGUUGCUCGUUAGCGCUAAAGAAGGACAUAAUUCAGGUUCCGGGCAAGGGCAAUCAGGCGUAUUUCCAAGUCAAGGCAAGAGGGCAGGGCGGAUUUAGCAUCGUGUUUCACCCACCAAGCCACUACAAAGUCUCCUGUGUUCGUCAACUUGAAGUCAAACAUUGUCAAUCAGCAGGAAAAGAUGUCCUGUUUUCGGGAGCCGAGUUCUAGCGGUAGCAGCGGAAUAACGGGCUUUGAAGCAAAUGAGGUCAAGAGUACCAGAAGCCGAAUGUUAAUCUCUACCUACUGCUGAAGCUAAUGGUGGUUCUAGUUUCAUCAUAUAUAGAAGCCGAAUGCUAAUCUCAUGCUGAGGUAAAGUAUCAAGUCAAGGGGUAGGGCGGACUCUCUAUAUUACAGUUUAAGCGCGUCGUCAAUAAGUUUCGACUUUCUCUUUUUCGUAUUAAUAAGUAGUUACGAUAAAAAGAAGCUAUCAGGAUCAUUAGCCAUAGAGGAAAGAGUUUUCAGAGCAGGUCAAGAAAAAGGCUAAGAAGCGAGAUCUUGCAGCCGGGAAAGUGUUUUCAACAAGAUCUGAAGCUUUAGUAUAGUUGCCUGCGUACUAAGCAAUGCUAGUUUAGAAAGCCUGAGUUCUUAACGGGUAGAUCGAAAGCCUUAGUUCUGAAUAGCAGCUGGGCGCCAGAGAGAAUAAAUGAUGGAGUCUGAUCUUAAGUCUUUUGACUUACUUCCUGCUACACCAUAAUAGCUAAAUGAUUAAAGCAACAGCGAAAGCUGCAAGGCAAGAAAGAGGGGUAUAAAGCAAGUAAGGUAAGAGCAGAGGUCAGCUGUCAAUUCCGUUUAGUUAGCCGUUAAGCUCGUUGUUGUCAAUGUUGCAGUGCUCUGAAAUUCGAUUCUCAAGGUUCACUCUACUUUCAAUUGAAGACCCAUGAGAAAUAGAUGCAAAGCUGUAUCUUUACUGGGAUCCAUACCAUGUGCUGUAAAGUCAUAAUGGAAUUGAACUGACAAAGAAACGAAAACAUACCUGACUGACGACGAUACUGCUUGAGCAUCAACCAAAAGGCUUGGGGCAGUGAGACUUACAAUACAUACAGCACUAGCCCCCGAUACUCACUUAAUGAAAUGGAAAAUCAUCUAACAAUCGGGAGCGGUAAAGUAUCAGUGUAAGCAGCAAGUGUGGGUGUUGAACAAAACAAGUAAGCUAAGGCGAGACAUAAAUCUGGGUUGAUAUCUUUAACUGACAAGUACUUGAAAGAUGGGUUUAUAGCCUACUAUCUUUAUCUUAAUGACUUUGAAGCAAGGUUAAGUAGAGAGAGAGUCGCUUCUUGCCCUUAAACGAACUACUCUUAUUACCUUGAUUCCCUUUCACCUGGUGUGAAAGCGCUCGAAAGAUGAAGUUUCAAGUUAGCGGGAAAGAAAUCAGUAUUAAGAAAACUCUUUAUAAGCGGGAAACACAAGCUUACGCACGCACCCCGUUUCCGUUACUUGGUCUUGCUUAGUGAGUGGUGCAUUAGCUAAUUCCAGAAGAGAAGUAAACAAAGUGAGCCGGGCAAGUCAAAUAAGUUGAGUAGCCAGUUGCUCCAGAAAAGAAGUAGAAAGUCCUGUUGAAGGUUAUAGGACAAUAGAAGUAGGCCUGUAUCUCGUCAUCAAGUUUCAAGUAAAGUAUCUGAAGUUUCAAGUAAAGUAUCUGGGCUGGUUUUUUCACCCUUAUUGUUAGUUGUAUUGUAGACCGCCUCUUCUACAAGUCCUUGAAGCACUAACACCAAUAACACAAUUCUACUUUCCGCAGGCAGCAGGAGAUAAUGCAGAAACUUGAGUUGGCGCGGGAUCAGAUGCUCUUACAGCCUUUGAAGCAGAAGCCAGAUCUGUUCAAGUUUCAUCGUUUUCAGAAGAAGAGGUUUGGUUAAGCCGUGAAAUGAUUCAAUUCAGGGAAGCAGUGUUUGUAUUUACUCGGUUCUAGACCAGAUGUUCGAGAGUCAAAUGAAAAUGAAUGAGUUGCACUCAGUCGUUAGCGCAACUGAACAAGUAGACAACACUAACACUUUCAAUCAUAUUCCGGAGGUACCAGCGAGCUACUGCGGGACGGCAAACUCACUAUCCUAGCGUAGUAGGGCAUUUCAAAAGAGAAUCAUCUUAUAUAGUCGACUUAACUCGAACGGAAUCUGCUCUCAUAGACCACUUUCCGCACCCGAGCAAAAGACUUGAGGAACCGCCCAGGCUCACCCCUCUCCUGUGACAAAGUUCUAUACAAUGCCAGUGAACGCUAGAUUAGAUUCCAUUCAGUUUGUUCAGUUAAAUGAGUAAGAACUAGCAAGGGAACUAGCACCCUCACUUCACUUUUGAAUAGAAACAUCAUUACAUCGCACAGCUGCAGAUCCAACUUAUUAUCUUGAAACUCAUCUGAAAACGAAAACUACAUUUGCUUUUCCAACAAGUGAAGAAGCAUAAGAUCCUUCGCCAGCGGAUUAUGAUUCUCCAGUUGAUGCUUUUGCCUCUUCUUCUAUUGUAGAUGACACUCGAACAGAAUAGAAUUGACGGGCCUUCUCAAGCAUACAAAGAGAUUCUUGGAGACAACACUCACACUCAACUCUACUUCAAUACAAGCACCAAAAGAGUAUACUCAGAUUCCUUACUUAUAGGCGCGGAAGAAGAAUUCUAGAAGCCACCAAGUCUAAGUGCAUUAGCCAGCGGGGGUGCUAAAGGAGUUUACAAAGGUUCGGAAAGCAAAAGGCAAUAAUGAAGUACUUGGCACCUUAGUGGAAGAGUUCGAUUACGAAAUUCUCAUAUAUGCGGCACUCCUCAUUCAAUAAUAAACGAGCAAGGGUGCAACUCCUCAUUCAAUAAUAAACGAGCAAGGGUGCAACUCCUCAUUCAAUAAUAAACGAGCAAGGGUGCAACUCCUCAUUCAAUAAUAAACGAGCAAGGGUGCAAAGGGAAAGCCAGGGUAAACUUCCAUUGUUGGAAGAAAUUCCCAAUCUUGCCUACCGACAAUGCUCUGAGAAUACUUGUAGGGGAAAGCCCAUCAUACAUCUAUACUGAAGUAGACCAAGUAAAGUCAACCCAGAUUUAGAGUCGUAUAAUCCAUCCUAUUCGUUGCGAGUAAACGUUAUCCCACAUUCCCAUAGAAAUGAAUUCUUCUCUUUCUUCCCCGAAACCUUGAACCUCAUCUCCCUCUUGACCAUGAGUUCUUCAUAUUGAAGUUCCGUUGGUUCCUUAGCUUGCUCGUAUUUAGAGUCAAUUAGUUUGUUUUGCGAAAUGUUACUUUGAGGCAUAGUGUACCUUUGAGGAUCGAGUGCCUUUUCUGGUUGCUCCGAGUUCGAUUCGAAAGUCAACUGCAAGCGGGAAGGAGACUAAUAUGAUGCUGCUGACCUGACAAGCGCCUUAACGGCAACAAACACCCCUGAUGAAAUAAUAACCCGCUUAUACUCUAUACUAAACUCUAUCUGCGCCCUUGCCCAAUACUGAAUAUCAAAGUAAGCAAUAACUUAAUCUCCAAGUAAGCAAUAAAAUAAUAAGUAGAAGCUCUGUGGCCUUGGAUGCGGUGCCUCAAUUCCCAUCUUUAUGCUGUACUGCAGAACGUAUCAACAAUCGAACAAGAAAGAAAGGCAAGCAAGGGCGGGGCAAGUAAGGCAAAGAACUAGCUUUCGCGCACCUGUACUGGAUUCUGCCCCAUGAACUAACUUUAAGUCAGAACCGAACCGCUUAACCGCUUUUCUCUGAUUACCAAGAUAAGAUCUAUACUAAACUAUCUUAUCUAAUUAUUAUUCUUAUCCGGAUUAUGAAAAUUGAUGCUUUCGUCGAGCGUAGGAGUUAAUGGUUGAAAGUCAGACAAGUAACUGCUUAGCAACUCGAUUUUCGGAUACCGGCUUGUUGGUGAUAUCGGCUUGGCUUCCCCUUUCUUUUGCUUAAAAACGAAAUACUUCCCUUUGGCCUAUCUAAGACAAACCCUCUGGAGCUUCUUCUCGGAUUGUUAACCCGAUUGAUAGAUCUAGAAUUACUAUUUCUAUAUGAGACCACUAUCACCCCUAUCUUUCUUUCGACUCUUCAAAAGUGAGAGUUGCCGGCAAGAGGCAAAAGAUAUUAGACAUCAAAUGCAUUUUCACUGCGGGUAUGGUCUAAAUAGGGAAUUCCACUAAAUAUGAGUUUCCCAUGGCUUAAACGGCGAAAAGAGGCCUUACUCGGCACAGUCUACUCGGCUUUGUAAGCUUCUUCUCCUUGUAAUUGAUUUCUGCCUUUCAUUAGAAGCUAGAAGACUCUGAGUUUCGGGUAUAUUAGGCAAGAUAUAGUUCUCGGCAGCAGCACGCACUUAUGGAAAUGCAGCUCUAACCUACUGGACUUUCUUUCGCAGGUCUUCCUUCUUAACAGGUUGGCUAACUUCCAUCUCAUCUUUUUAUGGAUACCAUUGCUCACGAUCUUUCCAAUUCUUUCUAUUCUAUUAGGUGGAAGCCAGUCAUAGCGAGACUCAUCUGGCACUGCGAUUGAGAACUUCUGCUCGUGACAUCUAAGUUAACCACUGAUUUGAUCUUUCGACAUCUAAGUUAACCACUGAUUUGAUCUUUCGACAUCUAAGUUAACCACUGAUUUGAUCUUUCCGGGAUAAUAAAGUAAGGACUUGAAGAGGAAGACAAAGGCUAGACCUGGAAAUAAGGAUUCCUUUUAGAAAGGGGACUACUUUUCACUGGGGAAUCCUUCUCUAUAUCAUACUGAACCUAUACUUCACUUUUGGGCGUCAGGAGCUUACACUAGAAUUGCCCCCAUCCAACCCAUCAUCUAAUCUCUAAGAAAGCAUCGUUUCCAUUCGAAUCCAGACCCCCUUCCUCCAAGUGAGUUCGACAGGCAAUAAGCGUUAAGGCGCACCUCUUCUAUCGCAUACUUGUUAUCUUGCCCCAAUCCCUUUAGCCAUCAAGUAAGCCACAAACCCUUUCUUUCCUCUUUAACUACAUAACUCUUGAACUCCUCUCUUACCGCACGCAUAUAGUAAACGAACAAGUAAGAAAGUCAGAAGUAAGCCCAAAACUCAGAAUUAUACAAGAAAGUUGGCAAGUAGGAAAGUGAGAAUUCCACUGCUAAGUAAGCAAAAGGGAAGCCCUAAGUGAGAAGUAAGCCCAAAACGAAAAACCUCAUGGAAAGGAUAAGGGAGCAACUGGUGCGUUGGGAACAGUUCCAUACCUUGGAGAAGCAGUAGAGACCAUUUACUCUAGGGGUGCAACAGCAGAAAGACUGUGAGAACACCCCAUCAAUGGGAACAUAUAGGAAAGGAUACAGCAGUAAAACAUAUAGGAAAGGAUACAGCAGUAAAUCAUAUGAAAAGGCUGCUGGACGAAGAGGUAACAUAUGAUGCCGCCUCGCCCCUUAAAGCUUCUAUUAGUAGCUUCAGGGUGGCUAACAGUAUAAGUCUAUCAUAUACGAAGGAGGGUGGGAGAUUGCAGCCCGCGGAUUGGCUAACCAAACCCGUAAGCGUGGAUUCCUCUGAGGUAGCAGCUACAAAAGUCAGUGAAGAUGUUAUCUUUAAGAGAAAUUGAGGCACUGUGAGCUCCAUGGUGCUUUACUUCUCUGGGAGUGAAAAGUGUAUACGUACCGAGGAAGUUUGGGCCAACGAGGAGCCCUAACAGUAUUAGUUGGAAGAGCCAGAGUGGAAUUAAGAUCUAGUUGCCAGCUGCUUGGCUGUUGUCAGUGGCCAUAGUUAUAGUAGCCUGAGUUAGAUGAGAUGGAAAGGUAGAACACUGGUUAGGAGUUUCAUUCAAUGGUCAGAAUAAGGGAGCUGUCACUAAUACUCAGACAACGAAUAAUAAUAACUAAUACUAAGCAUUGGUCUAAUACUAAUACUAAUAAGAAAAAACGAAUACUAAGCAAAGGUCUAUUGCUGCGUCAUAUGAUCUGGUUGACUUUCCUUGCACAAACAAGGACAUAUCCUUCUGAGGUGAAAGGCUAUUGAUUGGGAUUAGGAAAGCCUUGUUCAAAAGUCUGAGGAAAGAAAGUCCCACUGCAUCCGGUACAAAUAGGUUGCUAUUUAGCCAAACACGAAAUUAGGAUCAUAAAUCAUCAUAUAUCUAAUAAGGACACCCGCAAUCCAUUAAACAUUGAUGUUUCUGCCCCCCAUUGAUUUCUCAAUUAGCAUUGAUAAGGGCCCCGUAAUUGAUUUCUCUUUGAUAAGGGUUUUUCGAUUUCACAAGUGAGAAGGAGUUUUCGAUUUCAAGUAUAGUUCAGUGUCCUUGUGUCUUUGGGUUAAGGGGUAGCCUUGCCUCGCCUGCAAAGGGUCGAGCCUUCACUGCUUGUAUUCUAUUCUUUUCCUCCCAGUGCUAUUACAUACGGAAUAAGAUGUGGGUCGGAAGCUUGAUUCGAGCUCUUCCCCAUUCCUUUCCCCCAAAAAGAGUUAACCAUGGCUCGGUGGUAAAGCAGAAGAAAUCGAUGGGUUGAUUGGUUGGAUGCAUUCUGCCUUUCUCGGUCACACCCAUGCAUAGAACUUCAAGCCUUAGCAGUUCCGGCGGAUCAUCAUUGUUCGCACUCCAGGGAUCCCUAUGAUAUUUAGACAUUAUUCUAUUCCAUAUGAAGAUUUCUCUAUUACCUAUUAUAUAUGUAGACAUUAUUCUAUAUUCUAUAUUUAGACAUUGUAGACAUUAUUCUAUAUUCUAUAUUUAGACAUUAUUCCAUUUAUACAGAAUCCCCAUACGAGCGUGGAAUCCCCAUACGAGCGUGGAACCGGAACUUCCCCAUCUCAUCUGCUGGCAUGAAAUAGAAAUCCGUGGCAAAGCCCGUAAAUCACAAGGAAAUCAAUCUUAGACGCUUGACGUCGGUAGAGAGAGAUGAUUGGCUUCUUACUUGUUUGACCUCUCUUGGGAAAUCAAUCUUCUUACUUGUUUGACCUCUCUUGCUUGGCUUCUGGUUGUUUGUCUCCGGGUCUGAACCCUUACCUUGUCUUGCCCACUCGCCCCCUUCCUUCCCGGCACCAAGCAUUCCUAGAUAUUGCUCCAGUGGUUGACUACUCGCAUUGGUGGUUUACUAUCCUGCUCGCCUAACGAAAUCAAAUCAUCAAUACUAGCUUGGCCCCAACUAUUUCCGUUUAUCCUACAGCAGCUGGCGAGCCACUCUUGAGACGGAGCUUACUCGGCUAGCAACGGGCACUGGCGACGGAGAACAUAACUUCUGACUUUGGUUGUGGACCGGAACGAAUUACUUGCUCUUUCUGCUUUCCUCACCGUUGAGAACCGCAUAACUCAUUCUCAGUCACAACUUCGAAUCCACUUCAAUCAACCCAUUUGAAUAAGAGCGGAUCAAACUAUGCACACCAAAUCCAAUCAAGGAGGGGCAGUGGGUGAUUCUUCCUACCAAGGUCAACCAACACUCAAUCUCAACUCGUAGACUAGUAAACGAAAGCGAAGGGUACGCAAGGCAUUCGAUCUUCAAGCGAAAGGGAAGGGAGGUUCCAUUUGAUUCCGUUGGUAAAGGGACAGGUCAACAAAGUCCGCAGCUCUCGAAGUGAGAAUACACCUCCGCCAUAGGAUGACCCGAAAACGGGACCAAAUAGCUAUAGUAUCGCUACGUGGGGGAUCAGUGCUUUUUUACACCAGCAGUGACUCUAUAUCCAAAAUCAAUCGAUUACCAUGCAUUGCAUUCUUUUUUACACCAGCAGUAACUCUAUAUCCAAAAUCAAUCGAUUAAUUCAUUCCUUCCCGGUCCCCGGUUGUUUUCUCUUUUGUUUCUAUGCAUAGGGGGUCUCCAGUCUAGGAAUCCGGUUUGUUGCAGUUGAGUGACUCGGGUGUUGAUCAGAAGAGUUGCUCAGAGAGGAUCAACGUAGUUAAGAUUGAUGAAUUCGUUUUGACCCGACCGACGAGGUUAACCGUGGGAUCCUUUGCUUUCUGCUGUUUCGUUUGGAACAUUGUGGAUUUGACCUGACCCCUUGAGUACUUUGUAUCAAGAUUCGCAGCUCUUGCUUUUCUCUCUAGUUCAACGUUCACUCCUCCAUGGAAACUUCGAUCUCGGUGGUUCAAUUGAGUUUCAAUCCAUUCGGUGAGUUAUACCCUGUAGUAGCUCCUUCGCCUCUAUCGAAGGUACCUGUAUUCAUAGUAGCAACAGUAGGAGUGAGUUCAAAAAGAGACUAUACUUGCCUAGUAACAGACUUAGGGGGCCAAGCAACAGUGCGUACUAGAGCAAGAAAUAGGGUAUUAGUUUUUUGACUUCCCUUGCCCGAUCAAAGUAAUGACCUGAAUGGACUGAUGGUUAUUGUCCCGCUAUAGCUGGUGGAGUAAGGUAUAUCGGACUACUCCUGAGUUUAUGGUGUAGCCAGUAAGAGAAGAAGCAUACGUUGUGUUGCACUUUCUGAAUCUUAAUAAGAUGCCCGGAGCAGGUAAAGAAGCAGUUUUCAGAGCAGGAUAAGGGGAGAGAGCAGGAUCAAGUUCAGGAUCAGACUCCGGGGAGUAAUAGCCGGUUUAGGAUCAUAAGCUAUAAGAUAUGGUUACGUGGGCUAUCCGAACUCUCUUAACAGAGACCUGAGCCCUGAUUGAUAGUACUUAUUGGUGAAGCCGUGAACCUAGAUUUAGAGUCAAACUACCCAUGUUCUUAGACUCUUACGGCAUUUAUGACAUUUAGGUACCAACUCGAGCUCCCGAAAACUGUCAUUUCACUUGCGUAGAGGUGGGAAUUGGUUCUUCUUAUCCUGUUUAUUAUCUAUAUUCUAUAUUAAGCUUCCUCUCCAGCUGCUGCUUUAACCUCUUCUUCUUUAAUUCGAAGUUUCUAUACUAAAUCAACGAGUCAACCAGGAAUCCUUCUUUAUUGCUCACUUGAAAGAUACUUUACAGCUAUGUGGGCAUGAGAUUAGAGAGUCGACUCCACUUUCAUUUACUUUACAAGCACAAUAACUCUCCUUGAUUACGAAUAUGUAAGGGCCCUACCUUUUCUCUUUCGGGUUAUCCGUAAUACUCCUUUUCAGUCCUCCUACUUGGCUUCUUAGGCUUCUGACUUUUACCUUUUCUUGUUCUGCUGUCUCUCUGGCUGAGUGAGCUUCUCUGCUCUGUGUUGUUCUCAGUGAACUAGGAAGAAAAUAGACAUCAUUGGAUCCCCGCUAUAGACCAAAUGGAACUUAGUUAAUCCCCCACUGGGUUGGAUUCUCUGCAUUGAUAGCUUUAGUCUACCCUCCCUUCCCCACUCGCCCGCCCUUCCGCGUACUACUAUUAGAAUACAACCACUGCUAGUAAGAAUGCAAUUAGCGCCUCUCAUACCAGAACUUGGAACCAGGACUUUGACUCAUAAUAUCAGAAUAGGACUAGCGCUUCUAGCUCUGUAGCUCCUGUCUUCCAUUUUCUAUACACUAGAUAUCAAACUUACAUUCCUUGACGAAAGUCUUUAGUUCGGCAGCUUCGUUCUGUUGAUCCUGUCUGCAAUUCUUUGGCCCUUAUAAUAAUUGCUAGCGCGCCUACUCACAAGACUGCUUUUCCUGUCUUUGGUUCUGAAACUACUAACUAUAGGUCCCACUGCUUCAUCUAAUCCUGAUACUUUGUGGAGGUGUUUCGGCUUCCCUUCCUGGCUUUUAGCCUACCGCUCCGGUAUCUCGUUUUUUAGUUCGCCGCUCCUUUGUAUGCCCCGUUGCUUGCUAGCCCGCCCCUCCUGCAAUUCCGUGUUUCUGUCCUUUCUCUGUCUCUUACAUAUGCUUAUUAGUUUGACCUACUCGUUAGUUACUUGGUGAGUGGAGCUAUUAUGAAUCAAGAAUUGGACCGGCGCUUCUCUUUCCUGUAACUACUAUACACACCUAUAAGCCUGUCUGCACUAACUCCUAUUCUGACUACCCUGCUGAUCAGUCACCGAGCAAGAUAACCUAUCUUCUUUUGUGACUCCGCUCCCAAUGCCUAUGCUCCGUUUGAAGUCUGUUUCCCUUUACUUUGACUUUCGCUCUUCCUCUAUCAACUGUUAGAAUCAAACGAAUACUUAAUAAGCAUAAAAUACAAGAAUGGAGCUACUGGACUUCAAUCUUUCUCUAUUGAUCCCGGGUGUUUAAUGUUAGCCUGCCAUGCCUUUUUCUUACCUGUAUUCUUGUGCUACUGAUUUAGAUCUUUGCUUUAAUGCUAUAGUAGUAACUUGCCUCUUGAACUCCGAUACAUCUACUAGUACAAAUACAUACCUCUUUCUCUUACCUCAUAAAGUGUAAAUUACCCGGCUGAGAAUCGAGACCUCUGUAAACUCAUUCCAUUCCAUUCUUCAUCGGAUUUCGGUAUACCUCUCCUACGGCUCAGCUAACUCAGGCUAAUAAGUAAGUUUCUGGACACCUCGUAUCAAAGCUACCGAAAAAGGACUUAGGCCAAGCAACAUAGUCAGCGGCAGGAGCGGUGAAACUCUGGAACUCUAGGCGGAUUCAGCAGUAGCCAUUCACUCGAUCGACAAAAGGAAAUGCCCGAUGGACUCCUUCUUCUCUUUUUUCUUAGUCAAGUCAACAGUCUCAUCUCCAACUGAAUGAUCGGGCGUACUACGACUAAGAGAAUACGGGAAUGGUCCAAGAUCCGGAUACACUAAACCCUCUCCGACUGCAGACGAAGAUCGAGUUCGAAUAGAAAGUAUCCAAGGCAGGAAGACAUCAACAGAGUAAGCAAUCGAAGACUUCGAAGCUCUAAGAUAGAAGCUGCUUUCCAAGAAUCACCAGUCCCACGCUAUACGACGACAACUGAACCAUAGAAGGAGGCGGACGUAAUGGACCAGACAGACCAGAUGAAAGGCAAGCGGAGUCAUUCGACCCUAAAGGGGGCCUCGAAUGCUUACAAGACUCGCCUGAAUUGGACUACCAUAAACUAGCCCGACAUACUACUUUACGCAAUUUGAUACAUCGAAAGCGCACCAACCACAUAAGGUUCCACACCAAGAUCAAAUGAGGGACCACUAGUGGCAUUUCUCAUAUACGUUGGUUGGACCACUGCCGGAGAGAAAGGCUGACCCUAUCCAAAACCCUUAGCACAAUAAUAGGUGGGGGGUAUGGCGAUCCAACUACUACCCGCGGAACAGAGAUCCUUUCCAGUCAAGCUAUCCUCACUCAACAAGGGGAAUGAUUAGAAUCCAGCGGGGGUUAGUAAAAGACUAGGCCAAUGGUGCUCCACCAGCAACCUCUUACCCUCGUUCAACGAAGAAAGUGCAAUCCGUCCUUUCUUAGGGUUAGCUCUUACACAUUCUCCUUAUCAACAUCCAGGAUAUGAUUUGGACAAAAGAAUCACCAGUCCCCCACCAUAAAAGAAAAACCAAAUAAUGGAAAGAAACCUAAAAGAAGAUGUCCUACAACCGCAUACACAUACCCUCGAUACAAAGCAAGAAAGAAAGCAAACUCAGUCCUCGCCUCAGGUGAGCCAACCUUUCAAGCAAGAAUCUACUUAAACCACAAAGAAGAUAAUCAUUAUAUGAGAAAGAGCUUCAAAGAUAAGUGUAAGAAAUCCGGAUUUCGCUUUUUGAAUACAACUACAUUUCCUACGAGACGGAUUUAGGACUGACGGAGAGUUUGUUACUAGUUGUCAAGCCCUACAUGAAUUAGCACAAGGAUUAGUGCUUUCUCCCGGUUGAGUAGAUUUAUUCGCUUGCCUCGAAGACUGGCAUUAGGCCCCUUACUUAUGAUAGGAUUGAUUCGAAGCAAAGCCUUCUCUGGGAGAUGCUAGAAGAAAAGACUAGAAGCGCCCGGGGGGGCAAUUACACAGGCUAGCAGACAACCUAUAGCUAUUCCCUUGCAACAACCAAAAAUAAGUAAGCCUUCCUUCCAACAAUAGUAGGGUUUGGAAUGCAUACGGAAUGGAAAGCUAGAACGAAAGGGCAAGCAUCAGACAUAGGGACUACGGGAUAUACGUAAUAGCGGGACUAAGAGAUUCUCAAAACUAGUAAAGAAAAGGCCCCUUCGUAGACUAAGAAAGUGGGCAAUGGGGAUAGACCUUAAGCCUUCGCUUUUUCGGAAUACGGGAGGUAGUAAUGGGCGGAAUAAGUGGGCUGGCUGGGUGGAGAUAUAGGGAAAUCUAAGUAAGCGAUCUCAGACAUCUACAGAGGAAAUCCAAAUUCUUCCUGGAGAAAGAUUACAACACAAAUGACUAAAAAAGGGGCAAAGCCAGAAAUCCAAUCUAUUCUUUGCAAGAAAUCCAAUCUAUUCUUGACUUUUCUUAAGUAGGAAAAAGAGAGAAAUCAAGCAAGGAAUCCAAUUCGAGCCUUUGUUACACGCCAGGAACGGAGCACUCGCUAAAGGAUAUUCCCUUCCUUGCAGCACUUCAAAAAGGAGUUUCACAGACUCAAACAAAAGGAACUCGCUUACAGGACCGGCAUAGGGCGUUAGUGCUACGGAUUACUUACUAGAUGGAAUAGGCUUGUCUGACCUCUCCUUCCUUUCAUCUUUGGCAUCUCUCUUCUCUUAUGAUACCUUACCACUUUAGGGACUACCGGAAUCGAAUAAGACUGGUAGGAAGACUUCAAGGGCUUGGAAUGAUUACUUUAACCUAAAGCCGUUACAACCUUCCAUUCACUCACGGAACAAUAAUAAAGCCGUUACAACCACACUUCCAUUCACUCACGGAACAAGAAAAACACUUGAAGCCGCGGUAAACAGAUUUAUGUCAUCUGCACCUUCCAUCAGGAGGAUCAAACUCAUCUUUUCUAUUCCUUCGCAGAAAACAGACCCCAGGAAUGCUUGCUGUUAGCUGGUAAGGGAAAAAGGUUUGGGGACGAAGGGAAUCCGACUAUGGCACUCAAACGACUAAGACGAAUUCCGUCGAUUUGGACACUAUUCCUACUGCUACUGCGAGAGCUACUGCAGUAAGGAAGGAAUGCAUUCGCUUUCCACCAACCUUGUUUGGGGGGUUUUGACCUUGAUUACACGACUUCUGCUUCUCUCCCUCUUUUUCCUGUCCUAGAAAUCCGGUAAAGAAGUAAAGUAAACAAGCAGUGAGACAUCUCCUUAUAUUAUUUAUUAAUCAUUAAGUAGCACUUUAUUGAAAGCCGAGCAGAGCAGAGACUCGCUUUUUUCUUUGUACCGAAAUGAAUCAUAGGGAUACAUUAUUCGCGGAUUAUUCUUCCUUAUGAUUCGAGGCGAGGCUCAUAUGUCGAAGAGGCAAGGAAGAGGAUCCAAUGACGUGAUUACAGGGGCUGAUUCCGCGUGAUACUUAUAGCCAUGUGUUAGAAAAGGUGUCUAAGAGACUUAGUUCUUUGAAGUCUAGCUCUUUCUCUUUGGCAGGUCGAAUUACCUUCAGCCCAGUCUGUUUUAACAGCAUUGCCUACUUCUCCUCUAUUGAUCUGCACGGCAGGGAGUUGGGGCAAGAACAAGUGAAAGGUGCUUCUGAAGCUAAUGUGGUAAAGUCGAAAGUCAGGGGUAUUCGUUCCAAGUCGCAGGUAUUAGAGAUAGAGAUUGGUAACAACCCUAGAGUGAAAGGCUUAACCGAGUAGUAGGAAUCUCUGUCCUGUGCCCUUAAUUAAUGCCAUAAAGAAGGGAACAACCAUCAAGAAGGAACCAUAUAAAGAUGUUAGGAAGAAAUGCAUUCGUUGGACAGUUUCCGAGUAUCAAUGGAAUUAUGGCUAUCAGAGGAGUUUCCCCUGCCUUAUCAGACUCUAAAUAAGGGUUGAUGCAACUCGACUUGAUUGAGGCUUUACCGACCCGCUACUUAUGAGUUCCCCCACUUGAAGUUAAUCUGGAAAUUGGAUCUAUGGGGAGCACCCGUAUAAGUCAUAUUCCCUGCCUCAGAGACUUCUCUUUAUCUUUAUCCAUCCUGUCUACUGCUUGAGUAGACUUAUCAUUUGCUAUUGGAUACGGAACUUGCACUGCAGAUUCUCUAACUACUGCAUUCUGUUGAAACUGCUUCCUCGCCGGAUAUUGCUUAUGAACCCGGUUUUGAUCCUGGUUUUGAUCCUGACUUGCAAACUAGACUUUCUUAUGCUCCGAUACCUCUGUAAACUGCCAAGCUAGUGACCGAUUCCAAUCUUUCGAUAAGUCAAAUGAGUAACAAGUUCUUCUAUACCAUAAGUAGAUGUAGGCUCGGGUGCUUGUGUUGGUGGUGCUGUUCUAAAGUCUGCUCGGGCUGAAACAAGGUAUGACCCAUUUUCUGCAUCUAGUAUAAGGCAAGUAAUUGAACUACAAACUCGGAACCAGGAUUAGAUGAAGCAGUGGGACCUAUAGUUAGACCAGACCCGAGCCCCAACAAGCCGGAACUAAACUCAUUCGUAUAUGAGAAUAGGCAGAUUCAAAGAUGGGUACUACUAUUUGUAGCCGUAUUCGGAUAAGUAUUGGCAUGAGUAUAAUAAGAACAAGUCUCCGUUAAACAAGUAUUUGUUUGAGUAGCUGUAUCGGUAGUGAGAUAUAAGUAGUCAACUCAUCAACUAGAUAUAAGUAGUCAACUCGGAUUGAAGGAAGUAGUGGUAUACUAAAACAAACAAGUCAGAAAAAAAGGCAGUAAUUAAAAGACUACAAGAGGGGUAGGCUCGGUUGGUGGUUUAAGUCACCAAGCAACUACUAAUGACCAAGCCACGGAUAGACAAGUAGGCAAGCAGACAAGAAACUACUAAACAAGCAAGGGCGACAGGGCAAGGGGAUCAAUUCUGGAACUACCUCCUCUCAUUCUCAUUGUUACUGCUUUCAUUCCCACUACCACUAGGUUAAGUCUGUAACACCUAAGCUUCAGCCCGAGCAUACCCAGCAUCUGGUUUGCUAGCCGUGGUUUGAUUCCGAUACUGCUUAGGUCAAUUCUGAGUUAUACUGGGUUGAUUCUGUGGUUAGAUACCUUAGCUACCAAUAGUGACAUCCUAGCACUUGUUUCGGUGGGAAUGUAGCUGCUUUAAGACUUCUACUGACUAGCUGCCCCCUGGCUCUUAUUCUUGGACUCCCGGGUUUUUUGAUAGCAAAUAGAGAAAGUGGUUAACUCGACCUCCGCUCUGUAAACUCAUUCUGUAAUUACUACUUAUGAGCUUGCUGGCUUUUCUCUGAUCCUAAACCCCUGGCUCUGGCUCUGCUUCCUCGCCUCAAUCCACUCCCUUCCCUUACGCUGGACUACUACUAGUUGGGGCUCGGAAUAGCUUACCACAAACACAUAGCCAGUAUCAGGCGCAUCUACCGGAGUCAACUAAUACAGAUGCAACUGCGACAACAAAUACAGAUGCAACAGGCAAGGAAGCACUAACGGGAGCAAGAGGAGAAUAAAGAAGCAAGAUCUAUCUGGAAAGGAGACAGCACCAACCAACCCUCUAUCCUCUACCGUCAAGCUACUACUAAUCAAGCUACGACUAAGUCCUUUGUUGGAGGCUUUGAUACCGAAGCUUGAGAAGGAAUAAGGAACUAAAGGAAGGCCAAGUGGGAAGGGCCAAGCUACUCACUACCCUUGAAAGGCUGGAAACCAAACAACUCACUACUUGUUCUAAAGUGUAGUAGGCCUAUUCGACGGCUAUGAAGGUAGAAAACCACAGAAUCCAAUUCGUCACUGACAGAAACACACGCACCCGAAACUUCCUAUAGGGGCCUAUCCGUAGUCAACUCAUUCCAUUCCAUUCUUCUUUAUUACGCCAACCCAUAUGCCCUGUUUAUAGGCUUUCAAUGCAUUAGAAGCUCUCUUAGGCGUAUGACAUGAGAAUUAGUACAUCAAACAUCAGAAGUGCUUAAAUAGUUCAUUUCUUCUUAAUCAAAUAGACCCUUUGCCUUUACUUACCUUCAAGCUGUCUUCCACCCUUUAUUUAAUAACGGAUUUCUUUGACUACUGAGUUCAAUUACCUCAUUGGUAGCCGUUGCUACUGAUUCCACUUUACCACUCCACUCCUUACCUUACCCUUACUUUCGAACAGGAACAGGUGAUUCUCUUUCUUAUCUAUCCCUAAAUUAGUAACAAUUAUAUACUUCCAUUUGUAACAUUGUUACUUAGUUUUAGUCAUAUCAGUCCCAAGUUCUUCUAUACCUCUGGCACCCGAGUGAGUAGUUUCAUGAAAUACCUUAUCCGGCUUGUCUUAUGGCUCUGUACUCUUUACUACUCGUUUACUUGUUUGGGAUGAAACAGGACUCCUACUUGUCCACUUCAGACUCACAGUUUUCGGCCCUCUCUUAUCUUUCCUUCCAACCUAGCCGAGUUCUCUUUCCCCGCGAAACCAGUCCUACCUUACCCAGCCUAAUGGAAAUACUAAGUCAUUAGUUACGACUACUUGACAUGCUGAGAAUUAAUACCUUAGUUUAGGUAGGCACGGGAACCCUCUUUUCCUUGGUCAACUAAUACAGUUAGGGUCUCCAUUCUUCUCAUUAGAGGUAUCCGGUUCGAAGCAAGUAAAGAGCAACACAGUAGAUCGGCAGUUCCAGCAUGUAAGGAUUGGUCACAGAAUUCAAAUAAGUAGUUAGAGCUUUAGAGCUAGCAAGUCUGGAUCCGAAUCAUUGGUUAAAGAAAGAGAAAAGUACCCGUUUUUGUUUGAGAAUGAAAGCUAGGAGAUAUAGUCAGGUACCAGCAAUGAAAGGAUCGGUGUGUUAAGGGGACUGACUUGAGAACAGCUGAUGAAUUCUCUGAUCUACUUCCUUCACACUCUCCUUGAUUCACUCUUUUAGCCGAGAAAACAGAGGCGCUAUAUGCGCUUCAACAGAAGUGGGUAACCAAUUGUCCCAUGAAGACAGGACUCAGCCCUUACCUCUAUAGCAAGCACCCUUGCCCCGCAAAUAAUGAAUAUCUUAUUUACUUGAAGUGAAGCUAGCUAACCUGACUAGUCCUUGCUUUAAGAAGAGAAAGAAGGCUUAUCGGAGUACGAGCGAAAGAAUGGCAAGAAGGCAACUCGUGUUCAGCUUUCGUGAGUGGUGUGAGUUCCACUUGUUGAAUUGAGUUAGGAAACCUCCUUAUUAAAGGUUAAAGGACAGAGAUAGGGUUAAAGGACAGAGAGAGGCAGAGUUUAGUAUAAAUGAGUACAAAGCAAGCAAUAAAUCCAAUAAGUUGUUGAGUUCGUGCUAACUAACGUGUUAUGAUUUGGAGUUUUGGGUAGCCAUUAGAUUCGUGAGUUCCUGAAGCCGUUGUUUAGUGAGUUAAGGAGUAGAGUUCCGUUCGCCCUUGUACGUUCGAGUGUGCGGGGUGCCCUUAUUUAGCUUAGGUGCAAGGUUACUACUAUCUAUGGAUAGCUAGAUGAUAUUGCUGGUUGACUUCUGGUUUACUUGACUUUCACUGGCCCACAACUCUAUUGGCCCAACUCUCUUCUAUUGGCCCAACUAUCUUUACUGCUAGGUUAAUGCGAUAGCGGUAUCGUCUAAAGUUGAGUAGAAAGUAACGUUAAAGUAUAGUAUAGAUUACGGUGCCUCCGCCUCAUAGUAAGCAGUCAGCAGUGAGUUUAGGGGUGCGCCUAUGAUAUGAGCUUUGGCUUUGGAGGAAAUGAAGCAACUACGGAAUCUUAUCCACUAAAAAAGUAAACAGAACAAGCAAGGGAACUAGCAAACAAGCGAACAAGCCUAGAAGUCAGCUGUGUUAGGUUCAUCCUAGAGAAGAUAGUAAGUAGUAAGUUUCAGUUAGGUUCCGCCCCUACCCUAUAUAAGUUGUUGUGCGUGAGUUAGCUUUAAGAAGAGAGAAGGGAAUUGAGCUAUCCCAGACUCCACUCGGUAUUCCACUAUCCCAGCAGAGCCAGCAGCUUGUUGAAAGAAGUAUUUGUUUCGGUCGGCAAGGAAGCAGUUAGAAUCUGUUCUCUUGCUUAUAAAAGAGAGAAUGAAAGUGAGCCAUAGAAUCCUGUAUGUCUGCUUGGCCCCUACUUAAUCCUAUCUAUUCUUAUUAAGGAUUGAGCUGUUCUUAUUAAGGAUGGAUUGAGCUGCUCUUAUUAAGGAUUUAGUUGAGAAAGAGAAAAGCUAAUCGGUGAGGGCAAGCGAGUAGUUUCUUUCUUUACCAGUAGUUUCGAGUUGCUAGUCCCGUAGUUGGCGAUAGGAGAGUUCUUGUGCUCGUUGCUUGGCCCUUUUCUUCGAAUAAGAUAGCUCCACAGUAAAGAUCACUUGCCUCAAUCAGCAAUCAAUCUGCUUUUUCCUUUGUAUGCCUUCCUUCGGCAAAAGGAAUUAACGAUUCUCCCCCUCUGGAAGGGUAAGGUUCCAAUUGAUAGCUAUUCUGGCAUUCCUAACACUAACAGAAGCAUUUACUAGCCUGAGAGGUCUGGAUGACAGGAAAGAAAUAAAAAGACGUUACCAAAAUAGGGUUCAUUAGCCUCCAGCCGAGGGAGAAUUCUGGCUUGUUCCUCCAAGUCGUAUAUAUAUAUCUAUAUAAUAUAGAGUUCGUCCAUUCGGGAAGGGGAUGGCUGCCCACAUACAUGAAUAGAAUCAGAGAUCUUAUAGACUCCGGAUUGAUACUAUAGGACAUGGGAACCCAGAGAAAGAAGGAUUUUGACUCUAGAGGACAUAGGAAACCAGAGGUUAGAGAACGAGCAAAGGCAAAAUAUAGUAAGCAACCACAUUCUUGUUUAGGGAUGUCUUGCCUCUCUUCAAUGGUUGCGGGAAAGAGAGAAGGGUUCAGGGAAUCUGAAGGUAUAGCUUAGAACACCGACUGCGCUAAAGGAAGAAUACCGGAGUGGCCCGUCCAAGAACCGAUGAUUUGCGCUUUACCUAUAUGGAAUUGAGUAUAGUGGUAGUCGAAAGGAGACGCACUACUUACUGCCGAACACUGGUUCCUGUAAGUCUGGGUCUAGGGCAUCUGGUCCCACUAUAGUUUGCUUCAGGCGGUAGCGCAUCUCCGUCUUAAGGGAGGCGGCAACAAUAUAACCUUUCUUUUUGGCUGUGGACUUUGAUAGCAUAAGACCACGUGGAAGGGUAAUGCCAUAAAGUUCCCCUGGAGACCACGGAAAAGGAAGCGCCUAGUGGCUAAGUAGUUCAGGUCUGGGCCAAGUAUGGAUAUAGCAGGCAUCGAAAAGGCAUUGGCUCACACAGUCCAAAACAAGCUCCUGUACCGGCACUACCAUUAGAGUUCGAAGGUUUAUACCUAUACUGGGGCAAUCUCAUGAAUUGGGUGGGAAUUCCUCUUAUUCAAUCCAUUGUGCCUAGGCGUGUGUGGAGAAGUAAAUGUAUGCCCGCGCAUUCAUAUGUUCGGGUGUGCAUGCCCGCAAGGUUCGGCUGUUUUGAGACGUACGCUCGGCCUAUUUCUUGGUGGAUCAACCAGUGGCUGCUAGAAUAGGUCUUAGUGCUCCAUCAAAGCAGGAAUGAUCUGUCAGUUGGGUAUAACAUGGAAAGCAUUAAUAAGGCAAUCAACAUUGUGAGUGGAUUAGUCAGUUCCUCUGUAUGAAGCCAUGAGAGCAUGCCAAGGAUAGAUUAACGAUGAAACCACAAAAAGGCAAUACUUCCUCUGCUAUGGGGCGAAAGAGAAGAUAAGAAUCGACUUGCACAAAAAAACCUCUGCUGACCCUUACGAAACUAUUCUUUACAAGCUCUUCACCUUCCAUUAAGAGAGUUCUAGUAUACCACCAAGCAUAGAGGUCUAUUAUCACGUUCUUAUUGAUGGCUCUUUAUUGAAUCGUAAGCUCCCUUUGCUUUCACAUGACAUUUGAUGGUUAUUAUCUAUGCACCUUCUACUUUAGCCAGAUGACUUUUCACUUUCAUUCACUUUCUGCAGCUAGUCAAGCAAGCACUAUUGCAAACUCCAACUAUCAAAACCGUUUAUGUCAAGGUUAAUGAAUGAUUCCAGGAUGGGGGAAUAACCAUAUUCUUUGUUGGCUCGCGAUCAAUGGCUCUAUGGACGUAUUCGUAUUCUAUUGUUCGAAUUUCAUGCACGCAUGCGACCUAGAAACCCACCCCCCUCUUUCCUAGACCCAUGUCCUAUUCUCCACAAGCUGGACUCCCAGCCGAGCAAGAUCCACAAUGUUCGAAAGUUGCUUUGAAGGAAGGCUAUACCACCAAGCCAAGCUCUCCCUGAGGAAAAAUAGACUCCUCUUGAGACGCUAUAGCUAUUGCUGCAGAGCCUAGUUGAACCGAUGAAACCGAAAUCCGUUAUCGUAGUUGGACCAGCGUCACUGGUAUAGUAGGCUACCUACAUAUGCCCAGAAACAGGGAGUCGGGUGCUAUUCCAUAGUUAGCCAGAUCUAGUGUAUUACAUGAUGUGCUACGCCUUACCUAUUCUUUUAUUAGUAGGUGAACUAGAAUCGUACCGGGGUCGCACAGAACGAGAAACAGUCAAGUUAGCCUAAAAGCAAGGUGCUGAAAGCCUAAGACCUAUUUUAGCAAGUAAGGAUCAUAGGUAAACUACAGACCGAAAGGACCAACUCUUAGGCUAACAGCAAAGAGAGGUAGGCGCAAACAGGAGAUAUAGCCUGAAAGCGGGAAGCGCUAGCGCUAGUGGGUUAAGGCCCAAAGAGAGGUAGGUUGAGAAGCAGGCUCGGUUCUGUAAAUGAAGCCUGAUUUCUGUGUUUUAGUAUUAGAAGCUGUAGACUAUAAGUCCAAGAACUCAACAUAGGCAACAGUUUUAGAGCGAGUAAAGCUAAGAUCAGGAUCUGUAAGCUAUAGCCUGAAAGCGGUAGUGCCAGUCUCAUAUGUAGAGCAGGGUUCGAGGUAAUACAGUAGAGCAAGAUCAGUAUCAGUCGGGUAAGAGUGAGUUGAGAGUUCUCGUAUGAAGGGUCGUGUUUCAAUCCGGUAGUAAGUAGCACCAUUCUUUCCAGUUUACAGAGCCGUGUUUCAAUCCGGUAGUAAGUAGCACCAUUCUUUCCGUUAGUAGUAACAUUCCUUUUAUGGGGAGUUCGCGGUUCUUUAACUAACAAGUAAGUAUGCUAGGGCAAAUCCAUAUGUUAUAGAUCGGGGGGCAGUAAGCCUAGAGACAGUAAAGCAAGGAUCCUUAGACAGUAUAGAGUAGAGCAAGGUUCGAGGACAGUGUUUGAUUCGCCAGGUAGUAGUUCAUCCUUAAAAGCACUAGUGGAGUUUGAGUUUCUAGUUAAGUUAUUUAGUAACUGUUCGAUGUUUGCUCCUAUCGGCUCAAUUAUAAUAGUACACUAGGACUAGGGUUUUGGAAGAAUUAGUAGAAUUUCUAACUUAAGAGGCUAUGUUUGAGUACACAAUCCAGUAAGCAAGCCUUGUUGACAUCAGUAUUGGUAUGAAAGCAAAGGAGCGGCAGCCCGGGCAAUAAAGAGAGAACUAAAGAGUAAAGUAUCGUUAGGCACUGUUGAGAGCCCAGUUACGAGUUAAAGUAUUUCCAGUAUUAGCUCAAUUCUGAUUAAUAGUGAUUUGAUUCUGAGAAAGGAGGUUAUAGCUUUAUUAUGAAAUACAGGCACCUGAGUUAGGAGUUGCGAGUUAUGUUCCAUACGGGUACCGACAAGUUACUAUUAGACAAGCAGGAAAGCAGACAAGUAGGCAAGUAACUCAGGUAUUUAUUCUAAGAUCCUAUCAUGUAGGCUGGCUGGGUGUUAGAGAUGAUAAAGUCAGUUUCCCCACUAUUCCAAAGCAAAGUCAGUAAAGUAGAUUUAUGUUCUUGUGUCGAUUAGGGGUGAGUUUUGCCUCGUUAAGGGGUCGGGUCGGGUCAUUCCAAUUGACUAGCUAAUAGUUACACAUCAUACAUGUCUUGGCGCGCCGUUGCUUGUCUAUCCGUUGCUUGGCCCCCGCUUCAAAGCAAGAUUCCUCACUUAUAUACUUUGUGGCUCUCAAGAUAUACUUUGGCUCUCCAGAUUCAAUCAAUUCUUUCACUUCUGCUUACGAAGUUCGAAAUCACUGUUUUCGUAUCAGCGCCCUUUUACCAGUCUAAAUCUUCUCUUAAGUAAAUCUCUAAUUGAAUGAAGUAUGGAUGCGGGUGCCUAAGGAAGCCCAUUAAAUACGUUGUUAGAGGCGUUGGCAGGAGCUGUGAAAAAGCAAGUAGUUCAUCUCAUUAUGACUAAACUGCAGGCUUUGUGUUUAUGAAUUGGUUUACUUGAAGCAAGAGUUCUCCGCCUUACUUAUGAAAUUAAGACUCAUGAAGGCAAAGAAAUGCAGUAGACCCGCCUCACUGAUAACUCAAUGGUAUUUUGUGAUUAGACUAACCUAAAGAUACAGAGAAAGAGCUAGAAAGGGGAAUGUUCUUCUUCAAGUAUUGUUUCGGGUGUUGGCAGUUAUAAAGAGAAAUACGGAAUUGAGUAUGGCCAAAAGGAACCGAUUGCCCUCGACUCCCUUGCUUAAGUCUUAAGUACCAAUAUAAGAAGCAGGGACGGUGGAGCAAGGGUCGAUGUAAUUGAGCUACUAGAUGAUUUCCCCAACUCGUAUACUGGGUGCUUUAAGGCUGUUACUCACUAGUUUCUUUCUGUAACUCCCGACUUUGAGUGCAAUAACUUACCAUAAGGACUAGCUUACUCUCCUCAAGCGUAUACUACUUCCAACUGAUAUCCGGUCUGAAACUCGUCACCAAAACCCGGUCAAAAAGGUAGCAAAGGUGAGCUCCUGCCGCGGAACGUUAGUAGUUCCUUGGCCCUAAUGGAGCUCCCCAAUCUCAUUCAAAAGUCAUGGAAACCCGUGAAACAGCGCUGGCGCUUUCCCGCUCGCUACCGUUUCACUCAACUCCUACCGAGUUGCAUUCUCACUCCUCGUCCCCAAUGUUUCAAUCUGUGACUCCCGAGUUUGAUCAGUCAUCCUAUAAUAUGAUAUAUAAGGAUUUAGGAGUGGGCCAAGCCUACAAAGGUUCUCUAAUUACUACUUGCUUAACACAAGCACGGAAUCCUAUGCUCUGUAAACCAAGACUCUCCUCUUACUACUACUACUGAUGCAACAGGACCAUUGCAACAGGACCAUCCCACUACGCCUAGAAGUACCUACAACUACAGGUAUUCAACCAUAACUUUACCACGACCACUAGACUACCGGGAUGAAGACUAACACUCGAGCAGGAUCGGUAUUAAACUAGCCAAGCGUUUACUACAGUGGAAAGAGAAGACGAACACAACAUAGGACUUGCUCAGAACUCUGGGUACCACGGCACAGGACUCGGAGUUGCGGAUCUACCUGUGGCUUCUUCGGAUGCUUACUUUAUUGUUGAAUACCGAGUGGAAUCUUACAGCUGUGAUUAAUUGUUACUAAUGUGACUCAUUUCGAAGGAAGAAAUAAAGGUAGUAAGAAGGAGUCGAAGGAAGAAAUACAAGUAGUAAGAAGGAGAGGCUAGAGUUACUAUAGGUAGAUGAGCCAUUACUUUCUUAGUUUACAGAGGUAUAGCUCUUUCCAGAAGUAUUAGUUGACCAAGUCCUGUGUUCGUGAGCUGACCAAUUGCGGAAUGAAACUCGGGAGUCCAAGUCGGAUACUGGUGCUGCUCGGACUGCUGCUAGAUAUACUGAUUCCCUUACUUGCCCCUACCUUCCAUGCUUCUUAUAUAGCUACUUAAGACUGAAAGAGUGGGUAACAAGACUGUGAAGCUAGGUAGUUGUAGUAUGGUACUGAUGGUACUGAUGCUAGGGAUUGGUAUUACUAGUAUGGGGCUGCAGCUAGGUAGCUAAGGUAUCAGAGCUAUUAGUUAAGUACUGAAGUAAAGAAUUGCACUCUAACCUAUGAGGAAUUUCAGAAUGAACCGAGGUAGUCCAAGAAUGGAAAACUAGGUAGUCUGGGAAUUGAACCACUGCAGCUAAGGUCUCUAACCACUGAGGGCUCGCUACCGCGUCACAUUAGCAGUGCCUUGGUGGCUUCAACCGGACACCAACAAGACUGAUGCUUGGCCCUUUCUUUCACUAAGGUACUUGUUCUUGUUGGGUUCCCUAACACCGAAUCAAACAGGACAUGCAACUGUAUACUUUCCUUGAACUUAACCUUAUUCUACUCCUUCGGCACAAGAAAGAUGAAAUGUUGUAUUCCCUACUGCGCGAGUAAUACGAAAUAUAUGAGUUCAAAGUAAUACGAGAUAUAUGAGUUCCAAAUAGAAGGAAAGGAAAGGUAAAGCCUAGCCUUAUAUAAAUGCACACCUACUUAAACUUAUACUUUUACACGGGAUUCAACUAGAGCAGCUGAUUCUCCUACAGAGCACCCCGUAACUCUAACCUCUUUCGAAGACUUUAAUUGACUUGCUUCGAGGAUAAAAGUAAAACCAUUCAUUUGACUUUCACUUGCUUGUAGUGCCGAGUCCACCGAGUCCACCUGGAAUCCAUCUUGUCUUGCUUAGCACCCGAUCUAAACCUAAACUAUCACUGCUGCGGAUCCUGCAUCUCUAACUACACUUCAAUUUCCAAACUAUCCUAAAACUACACUUUCAACUGCUCCAUCUUCUAACCCUAAUACUUCCUAGGAUCCUGUUAUGAAGAAAUAGGCUUUCAGCACCUUUCUGAAUCGACAACUCAUGAGACUAUAGCAACUCUCCCCACUAAGGCUGGGCAACCACAUCUAUUACAUUACACCCCUAACCAACUAACUACUACCCGAGCCCAGUAAAAGCAAGAAAGUCAGGAGCACUACCCUUACCCAAGUCCUGGAAUAGCUUCCCGAGCCUACCCAGCUGGCUACAUCUCCUUUUAUUGCUCAUCUACUUAUUGCUCCUAUUAACUGCAUUCUUCUCCUAUGCCUAUUGCUCCCCGGGCUCCUGCCGCUAGUGCUACUUAAUAUAAGGGCUGACCGAGUAGAAUCUCCUCUCCCAUAGAAUACCUCUGGCGCAUCCAUCUACAUCUCCUCUGUCUGAUCCUAACAGUUCUCCUUCCCGUUCUUGCAACUACUAGUAACAUAACAAAGGUAAAGCCUAUUACUAUUACAGAAGCACUAACAGCAGAAGCACUAACAGAGUCAAAAGAGACAGUUCCGGGGCAGAGACAGAAUAUCUUCUUUCCUUCUUAUGCCCUUGUUUUGGUGAACUUUACUAGACUAGCCCAUUACUCGGAGUAGGUUCUCUUUCUGCUUUACCGAUUCUCUCUCGUCACCAACAAAGACAUCUUUCUUUCCGAACAGGCAAUUCGCACCUAGACUUAACUCGAACCCGAGAGCGGAUAGUGGAACUCGCACGGAGAUUGCUGCUGCCAACUAAGGUAAAGCCAGACAACUUGUCCAUAAGGGCAAGGAACUACUUCAGAAUGGAAUUGGAAAGAAGAAAUCAGAAUAGAAUGGAAUGAGUUUACAGAGGAAGCCUAAACCUCAAAAGAAGGGCCAACAGCCCAAACUAGUAGUAGUCCCGACCCGACCUCCAGUGUUAACACAACGCCUACCUCGACUCAUGAACUUCCCUCUCUCCACCUGUUCUUGCCUGCCGCUAGUGUUCGUCAACUAUACCUCUAUCUGUUCUGUUCUCUUCUCUGGCUUAGCGAGUUGAAUCAGUUAUCCUAUCAUCCGUUCACCUAUAUAAAGAGAAUAUAGAAUUUAGUAGACAUUUAGGAGGGGCCAAGCCAACAAAGGAUAUGGAAAACCUCUUUGCUUAACACAAGCACCCUAGCCAUGUAUAGGAAUUCCACAAGCCUACCUUUGUAACAGAGGAAUAAGCCUACCCCACAAAGUCAGUAAACUAAGUCAGUAAACCAACCAACCCUUUGCUACCAUGAUACUUAACUGCAUCCCUUUCCACCACUGCUGAAGUAAGGAAGUAAGGAAGUAGUUGACUAUUGACUGACACCUACUAAUUGAAUAGCCCGGUAGUGCAGUCCAGCGUGAAGUCCAUUCUUGUCCCUCGCCUAGGUAAGAUGUGGCAGAAAUGAUAGUAAGGGCCCUUUGUUUGCCUCUGCCUCUCUAUCCUCUGGACUAGCUUGCUUCUCUCCCCUCUGUCAACUCAUUCCAUUCCAUUCCUCUGUAGUGACCUGACCUGGAUUGAUUUGAUAUACCCGAUACCUCCUAAGGCAACUCUUUGAUAUACCCGAUACCUCCUAAGGCAACUCUUUAUGUAUAUGUUUACCACCCGUCCCUCGUAUUGGAAUGACUAGAGCAUCAACACAGGAAACGACUCACUACAAGCUGUAUGAUAUCUUCUCUUUAUAACUGAUGAAACAGCCCCUCUGGCAUUAAAGUAAACAAAUCAUUAAUUUCUUCUUUCGAGUGCAUAAUAAGAAAAGAGAAUUGAAGGAAUUGAUCAACGCGCAGAAUAUUGAUACUCGGCCCAUGUACUUCUUAUGUCAAAUAAGGGGUUUCCUCGGUGCCUGUUCCACUCUUUCUUCUCAGAAUGCAAAGAUCCCCCCGGCUUAUGGUCUUUCUUCCUCACCUGUAGACUCCACUAUAACAGCAGAGUUGCGGUAAAGUAGUGACUUGUGUAGUUUACAGUCUUGUUUCGGGUGUUGGCGAUUAGUAUACUAUUUCCGUUUCCAGUGUACUAGAGUGUUGAGUAAGUCAGUAGUAAGUCCUAAGUGUUGAGUAAGUCAGUAGUAAGCCCUAAGUAAACUAGUUAUUAGUAAGCCCUAAGCCCUAAGUUAGUAGCUAGUAAGCCCUUUAGUGGAAUUCUUUGUUUCAAGGGGAGUUGCCUCAGUAUUAGCAAGGGAGUUAAGGGAGAAGGAGCAAACAGAAUAUAGAGAAUCUGCUGUGCGCCUAAGGAACACGCGGACAAGCAUACGGCUAUGAGGGUAUCAACCUCAAGAAUCAAACCUUUUAGUACUAGUCGCCUUAAAGGAGCCACCAAGCUUAUACUAGUUAUGGGAUAGAUCUAUCGCAUAUAUAAUAUCUUACUUCUUUGGGGGCGAGUCAACGUUUUCCUAUAUCAAGAGAAAGCCUCUGUCCUUUGUUCACCGGUUAGUCUCAUAUUCAGAAUGAACCUCUUCAAAAAGAAGAGAAUAAAGUACUUGUUUUGAGGCGAGGUCAGCAAGUCAGAUAGAGUUAGUUCCGGUCUGUAAGGGAAGCAGUUAGGUCAGACUCAUAAGCUGUUUCAUCUGUUCUCAUAUAUGAAAAGAAAGAAUGAAAGUUGUUCUUUGGAUUCAAGCUUGCCCUGUAAAGGAGUGACAGAGUUAUGUAACAGAAUUAUACUGGUGAGUAAGGGAAUGCACUACAUCAUACCAGCUGGAUCUAUCCCUAUAACUAUUCUAUAUCCUUAUGCACCUGGGCAAUUAUAGGAAGUAACACGUAUUGAGAGAAAGAGCAACCAAGCAUACAAGCCAAAAUGGGCAAAUAGAGGUUUACAGCCCCAACACCAAGUAGUGGUCCUGUAUUAAUGGUAUUGUAGAUACGGGUAACAAACCUAAAGAAAGAGCAAACAAGCAACUUGCCCACCUUUCUUAAAGAAUUUCAAUAUCAACUCGCUACUACUGUAUUAGUUAUCAACUACUGUAUUAGUUAUCAACUACUGUAUUAGUUAUCAAAGGUGCUGCGAACUCGUAUAUAAGGAGAGAAGCCCAGACAGUAAAGUAAGUCAGAUUCAAAAGAAGGGGAAGCAGUGCUUGUUAAACAAUCCUAUAUGAAAGUGAUAUAGAUUUGAUUAUACUUGGUGUGUAGAGCUUGUGUAUAGCUUCAAUGAAAGUUUUUUAUCCGUUAUUUUCUGAACUUGUAAAUUACAUCUUAAGAGAAGGUAGAAAACUAUCAAGUCAGAAGAAAACCGGGAAGGUAUAAAAACCCUAGUAUUGGAAUCAAACUAGAGGCUCUAUUUGUUUGAUAGGCAAUAAGCACCCUACCACAUAAGGGCUCAGGCUUCUGUGAAAUUGACCAAGUAUGUAAAAUAGCCCCCACUACCCUAGUCAAUUUAAGUAAACAAAACGACCCCUUAACUACUAAGUCAACAACCCUACCACUAAUAGAUUUACCAGACUCCACUCGAGAUGAAACAGCCAAGCGUAUACUAACGACCAAAAGCCGGGUUCAAACCGUAAAGCUGUUCCUAGGCAAUAGAAUUCUCAUUUGAUAGUUGCGGUCGGUCAAUCAGGAUCUUCGGUUACAGAAUUAGCAGGAGCUAGAGAAGGGGCGAGCGGGCCUAGGCCAGUGAAAGUUCUAAAGUCCGUAGCAGGGAAGGGAGUUGUUGAUUCGGCUAAAGCUCAAGUUGUUUCAUGAAGGGAAGCAGUGUAUUUACAACCUGCAAGGGAAUAAUCCGCUAGUUUAGAGCCAGCCCCUAUGUUGUGGGAAAGAAAUCCUGUUUUGUUUGAGAAAUGAAGAUAUGGGAGCCGAGGUAAAGUUGACAGUGUAGUUGAAAGGCUUGUUAGUGCAGAGGGUAUACUACUGAGGUCAAUUCUGAACUUCACUGAUGAGCCAGAGGUAUCGAAUAACGGAGAUCCUGCUGUUACUAAAAUGCAGCUUAUCCUUAGUGCUAUAACAAGACUCAAGCUAGUGCUGACAAACUCCAUUCUAAUUGAACUAUAACUAAAAUAUACCACAAUAUACCAAUGGAACUGUUACUAAUUUCAUAGCCAGAGGACAGGUAUUAGAGGUGCUCGCACCCCAAGAGUAGAGUAGGAGCACCUUGGGCUAGGGAACCCUACGGAUUAUAGGAAGAAAUUCAUUCGUUGGCAAGUUGAUUAGUUGAAAUGAUAGUAAUUUCCCAUUAAGUAGAAGAUAAGUAGAAGGGAGGUAGCUAGCGUGUCUCCUUUCUUUAUAAACUAGAAUAUCUCUUUCGAUACCCUGCCCUCGUAUUUUAUAACUGAUUUAACAAGCCCUGCAGCUGGCAACAAUUCUAUACUUCCCGAACUCUGAUACUCGACUUAAAGAAUAGAAUGGAAGUGAAGAAUUCCAUUGUUAACCUCUCAUAUAGAUAUUGAUAAUAUUACUCACAUAUAGAUACUAAAGCUCGAAAGCACUGAUUGUCCAAGCCCACGAAGCUCUCUCUCAUUACGGGUGUCUCUGUAGCUCAAUGUAGUAUAGUUUCAUAUGAGUGUAAUCUCAGUUCUUUACCGAACAAGCAAUAAGGAUCUUACUAGAGAAAAAGAAUAUAAGAGAAUGUUAGUGCAUACCGGACUGCAUUUCUUACUUGAAACUUUAUACCUGGACUUAGCUUUAGCUUCAACUCGGGAUGGUGCGUUGAGUUGAGUUCGGAUAGCCCAGGAAUCAUUCUUUAACAAGCAGACUCCUUUGGUGCUCUAGCUCUAAGUCUAGGAAAGUUGCUAAAGUCAUCCUUAGUUUCAAACUUAUUAUUUAGGGCUUUGGUGUCGUAGCGUAGUAGCGACCAGUUCCAGUAAGAAUAGAGUUCCAGUAUUGCCAUGCCAGGUCCAGGAACAAGAUCUGAAGCCGGGGAAGUGAGUCUUGAUCCAACAAGCCGACAAGGAACUACUGGAGCAAUAAACCCUGCUAGAGCAAGAAACUGCUUCUCUUGUAAACUUUAUUUGAGCUCUUUGCCAGAGAAGAAGUAUGGGAGAUAAGCUUCAUUCAGGUAUCAAAGAAAAAGAAAGAGUUACCGAUUGCAUCAACCCUUAUCGACACCCCUAGUUGCAUCUGAACCCUUAUCGACACCCCGAGUUGCAUCUGUAUAAAUAAGAAAAAGAAGAUUCCUUUCGUCACCCACCAAGUCAGUCAACCUACAACAAACAAGCAAGUAAGUAAACUACCCCAGCCGAGUAACUUCAUGAAACAAGUAAGUAAACUAAGUAAGUAAACCUACCCGACCCCUUAACUAGGCAAUAGGAACGAACCCCGACCCUACUUAUUUAGUUUGAGCACCUGAUCCGACCCGCCAAGACACUACUAAUGUGUCGCGGCAGAGCCGCUGUCAAUUCGGGCAUUCAAUAAAGAACCUAACAAGCAAGUCAAUAGAAUUCCACAACUAACCUAACAAGCAAUAAAGUAAGGAGCACUACCAUCAAGAGCCGAGUUUCAUUCUGACUUUUCUGUAACCCUACCUCAGCUGUUCCAUUCCGAGUCUAAUUAUGCUACACAAGGGGUGGAAUUCUUCCAUUCCUUAUUAGCGCACUAGUUCAUUCUGUACUUCCUUACUUCUAGCUUAGCUUCAAAGCCGACUUAAUAGAAGGGCAACCACUACGGAUGAAACUAGACCACUACCUAGCCUAGAUCUACUCUUUGGACCACUACUUGUUUGGGCAAUCACUUCACUUGAUACUUUACCUCACCCUGGAACAGGCAAUUCUCUACUAUACCCGACCCUAAAAGAUGGAUCGUAGUGAUGCGGUAAAUAAGAGACCCAUGCUCCUAUGGCUCUGACUCCUAUACGAAUCCACCUCUGUCAACUGGCAACUCAACUUACCUUGAUGACCUGACCCGAUUGCUGCAGACUACUUUCUCACUGGACUUCGCCUUCCUCGGAUCUAGCCUCUGAUCUUACCCGUGCAAGAAAUGCAUUUAGUGCCUAUAUCUUUAUGGUUCGACUAUAUGUCAUUAUAUAUAAAGAGAGUCCAAGUUUUCCUAGGCUUUCCUUUACUUAGUCAGUACUGAGUCAAUGGAACUCAAAUCUCUCUUUGUUUCUGCUUUGUUUCUCUAUUCUUACGGUGUUAAGUCGACUCGAGACUCCUUCCCUGAAAUGAACCCAUAUUUCGGGUGAUUGGUGCGAUUUCGCUCGGUGAGACGUCGGACAAUUGGUGCAUUUUGUCGUGUGAUUGGUGCAUUUUCUCUCGGGUGAUCGGUGCAUUUUCUUGAAGUCAAGAUAGAAUUCAAGUGGUUAAGAAAGAGUACUGUGUUCCAGGAAAGCCAGCUAUACUUCGGUGAAAGUCAACUAAGGCUUUCAGCACCUUGCGAUUCAGCUACCUUUUUGUGGUUACUUGGCCGCUGACGCUACACACUAUACGUUAAUUGUCUAGUCGUUGCUUGGCUGUACUACUGGGCAAAGGAAUUGCUCAUAACUCCUAAGCUGCCUGCCGCGCUACUUACUUACUUAGUUGCUUGCCGGGCUUUCACACCGCAACACAAGACUUGGUCCAGAGGUUCACCUUGAGACUAGAAUUGAAGAAUCUCCUUUCGAAUGAAUGUCUUCGGCUUACGGAGCUGCUAAAGAUUCUCGAAUUGCGGAUGAUACUGAAGCUACUCCGACUCCUGAUACGGACACUUAUUCUUUCUUAUAUUGCUCUUUCUGUAUCUUUAGGCUGGCUAAUCCAUCUGUUAUUUAUGAUAUAUCGAAGACUUUCCCUCUUAUGUUUAAGAUUCCACAUUUGAGUCCUGUAUUUUGUCCUGUUUUUGGUAUUCAUGGCUAAAGGAGCUAAGUUGACUAGGAAUCAUUCUUUCGCACGUGGGCUAAUAUAUAGCGGAUUUCCUUUCUAGCUUCUUAUCGUUCUCCAGGAAUUGAAACUAGAAACUCCCUUAGCGCGGAUUCAUCCUCUGAUGAAGUUACUGCAACAAACACGAGAACCUCUCCUGUCUCUACAACUUAGGGCAUCAAAGCCCCUGACAAGACUCUCAGGCAGGGAACCUCCCACUUGCUUGCUUCCUUACCCCGCUUCAAUUGGACGACUUGUACCACUCGGGAAAGCCAAUAACUCCUAUUGCUACUAAUAGAGCCAGUAGAAAGUGGUAGUCCUGUUCGAGUAAGUAUAAGACUCAGAUUAUUCCAGUUUAGGUCCGGGAAGAAUAAAGUCAAAAGUCCCCUGGCGUAGAAGAAGUUUACAGUCCAAGUGUACGAUAACCAGAUGGCAGGAUAGACAAAAUCAGCAGUGUGAGCUCCUAAUCUAAUGCUAAGCUUCGGGGCAAGAAGAGAAGAGAACAGGCCAAGAAACUACUAAUAGGUACUCGAAAUAGUAGAUAAUAUAAUCCGGAUCUUAUCCUUCUCAAGCUUCUAAGCCAACAACUAUCAAUAUGGGUUUACAGCCCAGCCCUAUCGUUAUCGUUCAAGAGAAUCAGAUGGAGCAGGCUACGAUAUAGAAUCAGAGGCCAAAGCAGAAGAUGGGGAAUCCGCAAGUGAAAAGGCAAGGGAGAAAGCUAGUUCAAUAACCACUUAAAGUAGAGGUCGAGGAAGCAAGGGGAGAAGCAUCAAGGGAAGCGUAGUUACUUGGCUGAUAUCAAAGUUGUUGGUUGUCCACUUGAACUUAUAUAAAAGCUCCUUGCCUACUUGGUCCCGGGGUUGAUGAAACUUCACUGGUUAUCUUUCCACUCCCCUUAUAUACAAGUGAACUGUGUACUGUGCCACUUAUAUAUCUGCACCUGUUCUUUUCACUUCAACUACCAUGAUAGAUCUAGUGGGCCAUAAUACAUAGGCUAGCACAUUCCCUUACUGAGUGGAUGUUAACUACAGGUCUGCUCUAACUGCUUACUUACCUCGACUUGAAGUUCUGAACCACUGUUUGCUGAUUACUUUUGCACCUCUGAUUCUGAAAACAAUGAAAGUAAAGCCUUAGAAACAAGCACAAUUACCUCUCUAAACCGACCCGAACCCAACCUUUUAUUUCGCACUCUCACUUGACUUUCUUUUCCACUUGCAGCUGACGAAACAAGCAAAUCAUAUCCUUAUCUUUCACUGUGAACUACUUUCCCUUUAGCCGAGUUAACAAAUACUUCUCUUUUGAGAUCCGAGUCCACUAAUACUGACGUUGCUUAUUUGCUUCUUGUUCUUGUUCCGUAGCUUGUUUAAACUUCUUUUUGGAUUUAUGAUAUGUAAGAUAUUCACCCCCCAGAUUACUGCUGGCUCAAGGCACCUCGAAAGGAAGCUAACAUUAUUACCUCAAAAGUAAGCUAAGGCACCAAAGGCUUUGUUGAGUUAAGUGAGUGUAGAGUCAGAAGGGCAGUUGUGUUACUAUGUUCUAUAUGUAGUAUAAAGCUCUCUUCUUACUCCAUUUCUAUUCAUUUCCAUUCUAUUCCUUAGAAUAAGCCGUUGUGCACUGUCGGGGUACGCCUAUAAUAUGAGUUUUGGAAGCUUCCAGUCAGCAGUAAGCAAUAAGACGUUAGCAGACGCGCAUUAGGGGUUUUCUAUUGGAAUUGGGUAGCGCGCAGUAUAGUAUGUUACACAGGUCCUACUGAAGUAGCUUGUUCGCAAGCCAUUACGCGUUUACUUAUUGUGUUUGGGUGCGUUAGCGAGCGCAGCACAAGGUGAAUAAAAGUAAUGCCAAUUUCAAGAGUACGACCCGCCCAGUUUAGGAGAUCUGGGUUUUUGGAUUCUCUCUCCCUCCUCGAAUUCCUAUAGCUACCUAAGAGAUCCGAUACCUCUGCUGUACUUCUUUGACU